This 492-nucleotide ribosomal RNA is filed under the name uncultured bacterium. RNAcentral describes it as "partial 16S ribosomal RNA". It matches the Rfam family "Bacterial small subunit ribosomal RNA", at positions 29 to 507 of the family's 1533-position model. The record is from RNAcentral.
AGUGAACGCUGGCGGUAGGCCUAACACAUGCAAGUCGAACGGCAGCACAGUAAGAGCUUGCUCUUACGUGUGUCGAGUGGCGGACGGGGGAGGAAUACAUCGGAAUCUACUUUUUCGUGGGGGAUAACGUAGGGAAACUUACGCUAAUACCGCAUACGACCUACGGGUGAAAGCAGGGGAUCUUCGGACCUUGCGCGAUUGAAUGAGCCGAUGUCGGAUUAGCUAGUUGGCGGGGUAAAGGCCCACCAAGGCGACGAUCCGUAACUGGUCUGAGAGGAUGAUCAGCCACACUGGAACUGAGACACGGUCCAGACUCCUACGGGAGGCAGCAGUGGGGAAUAUUGGACGAUGGGGGAAAGCCUGAUCCAGCCAUACCGCGUGGGUGCAGAAGGACUUCGGGUUGUAAAGCCAUUUUGUUGGGAAAGAAAAGCAGCAGGUUAAUACCCCGCUGUUCUGACGGUACCCAAAGAAUAAGCACCGGCUAACUUCGUG